UUAUGGCAGAUAGAUAUUAUUAGGAGUCAGGCAACAAAACUGUCUCAGAAUGAGCUAAAAGUUUAUUAUUUGGUUUUUUUUUAGAUGGAGUCUUGCUCUGUAACCCAGGCUGGAGUGCAGUGGCACGAUCUCGUCUCACUGAAACCGCUGCCUCCCGAGUUCAAGUGAUUCUCCUGCCUCAGCCUUUCGAGUAGCUGGGAUUACAGAGCAUGGAGAGAGAAGGAUGCAGAGAUGGCAAGACAGCAAUAGAAAAAUACAGCCAGCGUUGCUUGAAAAAAUGCAGAACUUUACAACACAAUGGGACUACCACAACUGGAUGAUAAGGAAGGAAGAAACACAGUUCACAGACGAAUGAGAUCAAUAGGUUGGCAUGAGUGGAAAAUGGGUUACUUCUGCAAAAAGGCCCAGCACGUAAGUAUCUCUAGAAGAAAGAAGUAAAGGGAAAAUUCUAUAGAGGGCAGAGAUUGGAAAUCAACACACUGUAAUCUACUUGGUGUAGAAGGGGAAAUGGCUUGCAGCAAACAUAUGCACAGCUUUGGUCAGUGGUAAAUUGCUCUGCCUGGUGGAAUCAGAUAUAAGAAAGCAAGGUUGGAAAAGUAGAGACAAAGAAGAUAGGGCAAGAGGCAUACGACUGGACCCAUGGGAGUUGACACUGAUGUGUGGAUAUUUGGUUUUCCCAUUUGUUCCACCCUAGUGGAGCAACAUCCACCCCGGUGGAGCAACUGAACAACCACACGGCUAGAAUGACUUGGGUUGGGUGUGUCAUCCAGCCUCUGUCUUUAGCCAGCUCUGUGCUUGGGUCUUGUACACAUGAAUGGAGUAACCCUGGGAAGGAUAGGAAGCUAUGGAUUGUAAGCUAGCUACUUGAACAUGAAUGCUGGCAGUGGGAAAAGAAGCAGAAUGGCUGGUAUACAAGAAGAUGAUAACUAGCAAUGAUACUCUGUUAGAACCAGCUAUUCACUCCAAUACAAAUCAUUGUUUUGUCAUUGUUGUCAUUGGGUUUAAGGAACUGUGACCAGUCACAAAUACAAAGACAGAAGAUAUUAGACUUAGUGUGUGUCAUAAAUGGAUCUGAGCAGUACAAGGGGUGGGCUGCAGCAGACCAUUUAGGCUCACAGGGCCUCAGCACUCAUUGUCAUAACUGGAGGCUCCAUGGAAACCACCUGCCAGUUGGGCUGAUGAUUCUUUUUGCUAAGGGAAUAUGCUGGGCCUGAAUACAUGAUAAACAAAAAGUAAUAGAAAUUUAUUUCGAGAAAUCACCUUCAAUUAAAGAAAGAUGGGGAUCUGGUAAGAUUCAAACCCCAGUUUCCUCACCACUCAUUAAGGAUCAUUCCAAGGCUGAGCUCUCCUGUUACCCAGAAUUCCCAGUGUAAUCAAGCUGCAGGGUCUCUUGGUGGUAGGUGGUUGGUAGAUGUCUUUCCAUUCCUGGGAUCACCUACCAAGGAAACUACUGGUCUACUUGUCAUCAGUUCUUCAUCUCAGGGUCUUCUUGGAGAAUAAAUCUAUCACGCAUAAAAACAAUGUGUUUUCUGUAAUUAAAUGAAACAUGCAUUCUGAAGGUUGUGUUGAUAACUUUCCCAUGUGGAUUAUUUACCUGUGCCCUGAUUUUCCCAUUUAGAUCUUUAUUUUACCAUGACUCCUCCUUCAGUAAUGUCUGAAUAACAAUUCAAAAUAUAAAAGAGCAAUGAAAGAAGUACCCAAAUCAGUACAGUGAAUCAAAUCUACUGCAUGAAAAAUGCAAGAUUAUAAAUAUUUAUGUAGGGUUUUCCUCAAUUUUUGCCCUAUUAAGGAAUGACCCUUAGGUUCAAAAGUAUUCUAGAGCAUAUUAAGUGCCGCAGAAGUUUCUCACUCUCUGUAGCUCCCUUCUCAUUCAAUUACAAUGUAAUGUAAUUAGAUUUCAUGCAUUUUUGUAGAAAUAAAUAAAUAAAUGUUUGAAUGCAUGGCUUGUCUGAAAGCUAAAAUAAAG
Callithrix jacchus (white-tufted-ear marmoset) is the source of this 1966-nucleotide long non-coding RNA. Lineage: Eukaryota; Metazoa; Chordata; Mammalia; Primates; Cebidae. The record is from Ensembl.